Gadus morhua (Atlantic cod) is the source of this 754-nucleotide long non-coding RNA. RefSeq lists it as uncharacterized. The record is from RefSeq and is a predicted model, not a curated record. The transcript has 3 exons. Lineage: Eukaryota; Metazoa; Chordata; Actinopteri; Gadiformes; Gadidae.
CAAGAGUAGUCGCUCAGCUCUCAUUUACCGAGCAGCAGCGAAUUGAUAAUCUUAUACAUCCUUGAGGCAGCGGUUCCUAACCUUUCUUGGGCUAGCCUAUGUCGGCACACAGUGUUGCAAACAGACGUGCGCACAGACGAUGUGGCUUGACGUAAUUCACCAUGGUAACCACCUGUUGCAGUAUGUCUGAGGUUUGAGCGGGAACUCAAGUAAUGUACCUGUGCAGUCACGUGACCGCGGCAUUCAAAGUUGCGCCAGCUCACAUAUUUGCUGCAUUUUAUUUGAACUGGAUUUAUAUAUAUAUAUCUAUAUAUAUCUAUAUAUAUCUAUCUAUAUAUAUAUAUAUAUAUAUAUAUAUAUAUAUAUAUAUAUACAUAUUUUGUUUAAAUCAAUCACUAUUUCAGGCGACCCCAUUUAAAUUCCAGGCGACCCCAAGUUUGAAACACCCUGCCUUGAGGCCCUCUUUCAUAUAAAAGAGAUGGGUCUCCAGCUCACCUCCAUUGCAAUUCCAUGGGGCAGCUCAUCUAACAAAUGAAUUUAAUCCAUAUGUUUCAGAAAUCAGUUAAGCACAGACUGAAUGGACAGCACACACACACACACACACACACACACACACACACACACACACACACACACACACACACACACACACACACACACACACACACACACACACACACACACACACACACACGCCGUAUUGUUACUCUCUAUGGAGUAAAAAUGUACAUAACCAAACUUUGACCAAAAUGAG